AACUAAGUUUGUUAUUGGUAUGAGCUUUCGUGUCUAUGCACUUCUUCAGAUACAAUCUAUCUACAAUCUAUUCAGAAGUAUCUGAAGAAGUGUGCAUGCACAGGAAAGCUCAUACCAAUAACAAACUUAGUUGG
This is a non-coding RNA of Podarcis lilfordi (Lilford's wall lizard), 134 nucleotides long. The record is from the annotation of a GenBank genome assembly. NCBI's taxonomy places the organism in Eukaryota, Metazoa, Chordata, Lepidosauria, Squamata, Lacertidae.